Molecule: long non-coding RNA, 2548 nt
Organism: Myotis daubentonii (Daubenton's bat)
Lineage: Eukaryota; Metazoa; Chordata; Mammalia; Chiroptera; Vespertilionidae
Source: RefSeq, a predicted model, not a curated record
GCCUGAAGGGUUAUGCAGAGCUCUCCAAACUUUUUUUUAUCCAUCUUCUCCCUUGAGACGAAAAGGCUUAGAUUUGCAAGGUAACUGGUUAUUAGGAGAAUGCAAGCCCCACAGGGCAGGGACGCCCGGUGUCCGCUCCCUGCUCUCUUUCAAGCACCCGGCGAAGAGGGUCUGCAGGUCGCUCUGUGGAAUGAAGGAAGGAACCUCGCCAGGUGGAGCUUAACUGUCACCUCCUGUAAGAAGACGGCCCCCGAGGGACUGAAUGCUGCCAACACCACAGGAAUGAGCUCCACAUGGCUCCUUCCCCAGAUGAACCUUCAAAUAAGACCACAGCCCAUGCUGACACCUUGACUGCAGCCUGUGACAGAGCCCAAGCAGAGGACCCAGUGAAGCCCUGCCUGGAUUCCUUACCCACAGAAAAUGCUGGCAGGACCCGGCAGCGGAGGACAGGCAUCUCAGCCUCUGCCCAGCCUUCCUGCCCGUUGCUGGAAAUGAAAGCAGCCAGAACCCCGCCCACGCAGAGGCCAGAGUGAUGAGAUCCCAGGGGCUGGGCGACGUGAGCGAGCGAACGCGCUGUAAAAGCACAUUGCCACGGAGAAGGAGGGAGGCUGUCACCAGGCGGUCCCGGGGAAGCGGGGCCUUGGCAACUCAUCAGAAGGCUUCCCAGGGUGUGAAUAGAAUCCUUCUCUGCGCUAGAGGUUGAGCAAUUCCAGUCCAAGAGCUGUGCUGCUGCUCGGGUCUGUCCUGGCAGAUAAAUGGAUGGGUGUUUGAAUUUGACAGAUGAAGUCCCCAAGGCGAGGAACCACCGCAGUGGGCUAGAGGGAAAGAAGGCAGUGCCUCGGGGCUGGAGGGGUGGGCAGAGAGCCCCGGAAUCAGGAGAGAUGCAGAGCUGAGAGAAGCUGUGGCUCAGAAACCACAGGCCCAAACAGGGUGCAAAUCCGAGAGAUUAGCUUGGGAGCAGCGAUCCUUGUAAUUGGGACAUGGGGUUAGGGUGGGCCCCUGUGGAGCAAAUGCCCAGAAUGAGAGUUCUGUCCAUCCAUCAUCCCUCUGUCUACUCAUCCACCCACCCAUCAAUUCUUCACCAUUAAUUAAAAAAAUCUUUUUGGAAAAAUGAAAAUAGAACAAAGGAUAAAAGUAAGGCCAAGAUCUUGGCAUCUUGGAUUCCUCCCUAGAGAAAAAGUCACUAGUUUCUUUUCGUUUCUGUGCCUUGGACUUUUAGCAUAUCUUAAAGGCACGGGUGGCAUUUAUGUGCCAGCUUGGGCAAGUUUGGGGUGUGCCGUGUGUGUUUCAAGAACCAGGGUGAGUCCAGAUAAUAUCAUACACAGGCUUUGCAAAGUCCCGCCAAGUGGUUUCCCAGAGCUCAACCGUCAGUCAGAUGGUCAGGUCUGAGAAGUGCUCACUUUCCGUCUGAGUAAGAACAGCUGGGGUUUCAUGCAUCUGCAUCACUUGGUCAUAAUUUGUUUUCUUUUCCGCUUCUCUAAUUCCCAAGAUAAAUCAAAGGGCAUUUUCCACUGAUGUUGCUGAGUAACAAGAGCCAUUAACAACUUGCCUGUUGUUAUUCUAACAACCUUCGCACCUAUCGAUGAAAGAGGGCUCCCUUUAGCCACAUCCAUAAUUGGAUUUUUAUGCUCAAUGCAUCCUUUCCCCCAACUUUUAUUUUGCAGCAUUUUAAAUCUAUAAAAAGGUAAAAAAAUAGUAUAAUAACCAUCCCGGAGUCCUUGUUUUAGACUCACCAGUGGUUGGCAUUUGACAUUUUGCCAUAUUUAAAAAUUAAAAAAACCAACUAUUUGAAAGCAGAUAGCGACCAUUAUGACCCUUCUGCUCUAAAUACUGCCUCUCCCUAAAACAAGGGCUUUCUUCUCCAUAAACACAAUACCGUCGUCAUGCUCCCAACUUUAAUAAUGGAUAUAAUAAUUUUAUCUAAUGUAACAUCCAUAUUCCAAUUUUCUCAAGUGCCUCGUUAUCAUUCUUUGAAGUUGUUUUCCUUUUUUUGUUCCUUGAUCCAGGAUCCAGUCGAGGAUCACACAAGGCAUUUCGCUGACAUGUCUCUUAGGGUCUUUUAAUCUAGAAUGUUCCCCACCAACCACAGCUUAUGUCUUUUCCAUGUCUCAUGGUGGAUUGACAUUUUUGAGGAAUUGGCCAGUUGUCUUCCAGGAUGUCCAGUAACUUGAAUUUGUCUGAUUAUUUCCUUAUGAUUAGACUUAGAAUAAACCCUUUGGUGAAUGCAAUGCACCGGCAAUGUUUUUUACGUCCCAUUGCAUCACACUGGGGGGCACAUGACGUCAGUCUGGGCUCAUUAUUGGUAAGGCUACAUUUGAACAGGCAUUUAAGGUGGUGUCUGCUACAUUUCCCCACUGUAAGUUAACAAGCGAGGCCAUGUGACUAUUCCAUUCCCAGUGGCCUUUUUCCAUGGGUUUAGCAUUAACCGAGGCUCCUUGCCUGAAUCGAUGAUUAUAUUCGCAGUUACAGUCUUCAGAUUCUGAUUCAUUCACGCCACGCAGUCUAUAUUUAUUGGCUGGUGUUCUUGUGUAAAGAUCUGCACCUCUCU